This 497-nucleotide ribosomal RNA is filed under the name uncultured bacterium. Its description in RNAcentral is "partial 16S ribosomal RNA". It matches the Rfam family "Bacterial small subunit ribosomal RNA", at positions 28 to 507 of the family's 1533-position model. The record is from RNAcentral.
GAUGAACGCUGGCGGCGUGCCUAAUACAUGCAGGUCGAGCGAACGGACGAGAAUCUUGCUUCUCUGAUGUUAGCGGCGGACGGGUGAGUAACACGUGGAUAACCUACCUAUAAGACUGGGAUAACUUCGGGAAACCGGAGCUAAUACCGGAUAAUAUUUUGAACCGCAUGGUUCAAAAGUGAAAGACGGUCUUGCUGUCACUUAUAGAUGGAUCCGCGCUGCAUUAGCUAGUUGGUAAGGUAACGGCUUACCAAGGCAACGAUGCAUAGCCGACCUGAGAGGGUGAUCGGCCACACUGGAACUGAGACACGGUCCAGACUCCUACGGGAGGCAGCAGUAGGGAAUCUUCCGCAAUGGGCGAAAGCCUGACGGAGCAACGCCGCGUGAGUGAUGAAGGUCUUCGGAUCGUAAAACUCUGUUAUUAGGGAAGAACAUAUGUGUAAGUAACUGUGCACAUCUUGACGGUACCUAAUCAGAAAGCCACGGCUAACUACGUG